RNAcentral lists this long non-coding RNA (726 nucleotides) under Coffea arabica (coffee). RNAcentral describes it as "long non-coding RNA (CARA_LNC006435)". The record is from RNAcentral. Lineage: Eukaryota; Viridiplantae; Streptophyta; Magnoliopsida; Gentianales; Rubiaceae.
GGACAUUUAUUCAUUUAUCAUUAAUUGCCAAGUAAUUAAUGAACCAUCAAAUCAGAAUCGAGGCACAAAGAAUUUGCUGAAACGAAUUCUGGGACCAACAGCAAAAACAACAAAAACUGGUUAAAGCAACUUUGAAAGGCAAAAAAAGAUUCAGUACUCAAAUUUCAAUGAGUUACAAUUGUCACUCGAAAGUAAAACAUGCACCCUCUAUAUGCAAGUUUUCAUAGGCCAAAAGUUCCAGCAUCUUUUCACGAACAGUGAUGCUGAAGAUUACAGGAAAAUAGAUUGAAAUUUUUAUUUGAACAUUGGCUGGAGGCCUACAAUGGAGGCCCCUUGACCACGAAACAAGCCUUUGAAAGCUUUUAAUUGAGAAAUGAUUUGCUUGUGCAAACCAACUUCAGCAGCAUAUACGGUAGAGAAAACGCUCUUUCUUAGCCGUUUGAACCUCCUCCCAAUUCUAAUCUUCAACUUAUUGGUUUUAACCUUCAACCAAGAUGGCCUUUUUCUUGGAGAAUCUGCUUGUUGGAGGGCCUUGUAAAUCAAGAAUUGUGCUCUUCUAUGCCUUACUUCAUCAGGGUCUUCCGUAUCCAUCUUGGAGUAGGCAAAUGGUCUAUUCAAGAGACUCAUUUUGCUCUGAGGAAAAACCCAAAAAUUGGUAGUAGAAGAAACAGAGGAAGAAGAUCUAAUUAGGUGGAAGUAACUUAUGCUACUGCACUAUUUAUAGUG